Molecule: ribosomal RNA, 252 nt
Filed under: uncultured bacterium
Lineage: Bacteria
Description: partial 16S ribosomal RNA
Rfam family: Bacterial small subunit ribosomal RNA
Source: RNAcentral
UACGUAGGGGGCAAGCGUUGUCCGGAAUUAUUGGGCGUAAAGCGCGCGCAGGCGGUCGCUUAAGUCUGGUGUUUAAGCCCGAGGCUCAACCUCGGUUCGCACUGGAAACUGGGUGGCUUGAGUGCAGGAGAGGAAAGCGGAAUUCCACGUGUAGCGGUGAAAUGCGUAGAGAUGUGGAGGAACACCAGUGGCGAAGGCGGCUUUCUGGCCUGUAACUGACGCUGAGGCGCGAAAGCGUGGGGAGCAAACAGG